RNAcentral lists this ribosomal RNA (253 nucleotides) under uncultured bacterium. Its description in RNAcentral is "partial 16S ribosomal RNA". It matches the Rfam family "Bacterial small subunit ribosomal RNA", at positions 524 to 776 of the family's 1533-position model. The record is from RNAcentral.
UACGGAGGGUGCAAGCGUUAAUCGGAAUUACUGGGCGUAAAGCGCACGCAGGCGGUUUGUUAAGUCAGAUGUGAAAUCCCCGGGCUUAACCUGGGAACUGCAUUCGAAACUGGCAAGCUUGAGUAUGGUAGAGGGAGGUAGAAUUCCAGGUGUAGCGGUGAAAUGCGUAGAGAUAUGGAGGAAUACCGAUGGCGAAGGCGGCCUCCUGGACGAAGACUGACGCUGAGGUGCGAAAGCGUGGGGAGCAAACAGG